AUGUCUGAUGCUGUGUGUGAGAUUGCAAGUGCUAUCAACAACACAUGUCAUACUGAAACACACCCUGAGUUGUACAAGGCUGUAAUGGACCUUGUUGAGUAUGAUCUUGCUGAGCGGUUGGCUGUUUUAGAUUAUCUGACUGGACAUAAGGGAAAAGGCCUUAAUUUCGUGAAGAUGAAUGAGGAGGUCCGCAAACCAUCGUUCAAGCGUAUCUUGGAGAAGAAUCCUGAUCUUGUUUGA
Molecule: ribosomal RNA, 240 nt
Filed under: Triticum aestivum (bread wheat)
Lineage: Eukaryota; Viridiplantae; Streptophyta; Magnoliopsida; Poales; Poaceae
Description: partial small subunit ribosomal RNA
Source: RNAcentral